GAUGAACGCUGGCGGCGUGCUUAACACAUGCAAGUCGAACGAAGCAACUUAUCACGAUCCCUUCGGGGUGACGAUUUGUUGACUGAGUGGCGGACGGGUGAGUAACGCGUGGGUAACCUACCUUGUACAGGGGGACAACAGUUGGAAACGACUGCUAAUACCGCAUAAGCGCACAGCAUUGCAUGAUGCAGUGUGAAAAGUAUUUUCGGUACAAGAUGGACCCGCGUCUGAUUAGCUAGUUGGUGAGGUAACGGCUCACCAAGGCGACGAUCAGUAGCCGGACUGAGAGGUUGAACGGCCACAUUGGGACUGAGAUACGGCCCAGACUCC
Molecule: ribosomal RNA, 330 nt
Filed under: uncultured Pseudobutyrivibrio sp.
Lineage: Bacteria; Bacillati; Bacillota; Clostridia; Lachnospirales; Lachnospiraceae
Description: bacterial SSU rRNA
Rfam family: Bacterial small subunit ribosomal RNA
Source: RNAcentral